This 567-nucleotide ribosomal RNA is filed under the name uncultured bacterium. Its description in RNAcentral is "partial 16S ribosomal RNA". It matches the Rfam family "Bacterial small subunit ribosomal RNA", at positions 355 to 914 of the family's 1533-position model. The record is from RNAcentral.
UGGGGAAUAUUGGACAAUGGGCGCAAGCCUGAUCCAGCAAUGCCGCGUGUGUGAAGAAGGCCUUCGGGUUGUAAAGCACUUUUAUCAGGAGCGAAACGCUGUCGGCUAAUACCCGGCGGAACUGACGGUACCUGAGGAAUAAGCACCGGCUAACUUCGUGCCAGCAGCCGCGGUAAUACGAAGGGGUGCAAGCGUUAAUCGGAAUUACUGGGCGUAAAGCGUGCGUAGGCGGUUUCUUAGUCUGCUGUGAAAUCCCCGGGCUCAACCUGGGAAUGCAGUGGAUACUGGGAGGCUAGANUGUGUCAGAGGGUGGUGGAAUUCCCGGUGUAGCGGUGAAAUGCGUAGAGAUCGGGAGGAACAUCAGUGGCGAAGGCGGCCACCUGGGACAACACUGACGCUGAGGCACGAAAGCGUGGGGAGCAAACAGGAUUAGAUACCCUGGUAGUCCACGCCCUAAACGAUGCGAACUGGAUGUUGGUCUCAACUCGGAGAUCAGUGUCGAAGCUAGCGCGUUAAGUUCGCCGCCUGGGGAGUACGGUCGCAAGACUGAAACUUAAAUGAAUUGAC